This 253-nucleotide ribosomal RNA is filed under the name uncultured bacterium. RNAcentral's name for it is "partial 16S ribosomal RNA". It matches the Rfam family "Bacterial small subunit ribosomal RNA", at positions 524 to 776 of the family's 1533-position model. The record is from RNAcentral.
UACGGAGGGUGCAAGCGUUAUCCGGAUUCACUGGGUUUAAAGGGUGCGUAGGUGGGUUGGUAAGUCAGUGGUGAAAUCCCCGAGCUUAACUUGGGAACUGCCAUUGAUACUAUCAGUCUUGAAUACCGUGGAGGUCGGCGGAAUAUGUCGUGUAGCGGUGAAAUGCUUAGAUAUGACAUAGAACACCAAUUGCGAAGGCAGCUGACUACGCGAGUAUUGACACUGAGGCACGAAAGCGUGGGGAUCAAACAGG